This is a long non-coding RNA of Ictalurus punctatus (channel catfish), 317 nucleotides long. Lineage: Eukaryota; Metazoa; Chordata; Actinopteri; Siluriformes; Ictaluridae. The record is from Ensembl.
AUAAGAUCCGGGAGUGUGAGGGGAUACGAUCCGAGAGAGUGUGAGGGUAUAAGAUCCGGGAGUGUGAGGGGAUAAGAUCCGAGAGAGUGUGAGGGUAUAAGAUCCGGGAGUGUGAGGGUAUAAGAUCCGGGAAGUGUGAGGGUAUACGAUCCGAGAGUGUGAGGGUAUAAGAUCCGGAAGUGUGAGGGUAUAAGAUCCGAGAGAGUGUGAGGGUAUAAGAUCCGAGAGAGUGUGAGGGUAUAAGAUCCGAGAGAGUGUGAGGGUAUACGAUCCGAGAGAGUGUGAGGGUAUACGAUCCGAGAGAGUGUGAGGGUAUA